Long non-coding RNA from Macaca mulatta (Rhesus monkey), 2935 nucleotides. The record is from Ensembl. NCBI's taxonomy places the organism in Eukaryota, Metazoa, Chordata, Mammalia, Primates, Cercopithecidae.
AGUACAUUUUCAUUACAAAAAUCGUAGAAGGCUAGGCACUGUGGCUCACACCUUUAAUCUUAGCACUUUGGGAGGCUGAGUCGGAUGGAUCACUUGACCUCAAGAGGUCAAGACCAGCCUGGGUAACAUGGCGAAACACCAUCUCUACAAAAAAUACAAAAAUUAGUCGGGCAUGGUGGUACACGCCUAUAGUCCCAGAUAGGAGGCUGAGGUAGGAGAAUCACGUGAGCCAGGGAGGUCGAGGCUGCAUGGUGCGGUCUCGGCUCACUGCAAGCUCCGCCUCCCAGGUUCACGCCAUUCUGCGUCAGCCUCCCGAGUAGCUGGGACCACAGGCACUCGCCACCACACCCAACUAGUUUUUUGUAGUUUUAGUAGAGACGGGGUUUCACCGUGUUAGCCAGGAUGGUCUCCAUCUCCUGACCUCAUGAUCCGCCCGCCUUGGCCUCUGAAAGUGCUGGGAUUACAGGCGUGAGCCAGCACGCCCGGCCCCUUUUUUUCUUUUCUUGAAUGAUGAUUUUGUUUUAUUUUUAUAGCUUUGAGAGGUAAUCAAAUCUACCACACUGUGUCUUUAUAUUUUCUUGGUUUGCCUUUAUGGGUGGAAACUCCUUCACCACCCUAAAGCUGAAAAAUGUUUUCCUAUAUUUUAUUACGGCUAUUUUGGUUUUAUUUUUUACAUUUAGCAUUUGAAUUUACAUUGGUGUAUGGUGUGAAGUUUAAGGACCUGUCUUUAACAAAUGGUUCCGCAUUGUUUCAGGGUAGCUCAUCAGAGAGGUGGCUGGGAAGCUCUAGCACUCCCCCCGAGGUGUCCCUGAUGGCACAGGGACUGGAGCAGGCUGGGCAGCAGCGGUGUGUCCUCUCCCAGUGGGCCCUGGGGCCUUGGGGAGAGAUCUCAUAGUGCACCUGCAGCUGAGCCCUGGCUCUGUGGCAUCUGCUCUGGGCUGUGCAGCCAGUGACCAGACACCGCUCUUGGCCUUGCCUCCGGAGAGAGCCUCAUUCCUGGCAUAGGCCGCUGAGCUCUUAGGCUUUCAAGAUUGGACCCUACAGCCUUGCAUUUGGGUGUGAACUGGGGCUGCUGGGACAUGGACCUCAGUCCUUUGUGUGGGGCAUGAUCGCAUUGCAGCCCGUCAGUCCUGGGAGGCGCCUUCCCUAUCACCAUGUCCCCACCCCUGCGUGAUCCAGCGGACUCCUGACUCCCAUGGCAAGACUCCACCCUGCUUUACUCAUAACUUCUGCCCAGCCCCACUCCCUUGACCUGAAUUGGUUUUGCUGUCAUAAAACCACCCCUUUUUUCUGUAAAGGAAUCCCUGACAUCCUCGUCCAUCUCCUGUGCCUUUCCGCUGGGUCAGCCUUCUCCCGCCACGCUUCUAACCCGCUGCCACCGGCAGCUCCACUCUAGCUGCAGGGCCUGACUGGGCUCUGGUUUCUCAGAAGAGCUCAGAGGACCUGGCUCCUCCCUCUUUGCUUCUGAACUGCAUUUCUUUCCUUAUUACUCAGUGUCCACACCCACGGUGGCUGCCUGGAUAAAAAUCUGCCCCCUUCUCCCGUCACCUUUCAUGCCAGACAAAAGCCCCAGUAAGUAAUGGCGACCUACCCAGGUCCGGCUAGCAGCUCUCCAUUCCUGAGGGGUCUGGGGCAGAACGGGGUCGUGUGAGCUCCUGGACCCCAAGUCUGAUUCCCUUUCCCUGUCUUCCCGCUCAUCUGCUAAGCUUGUUGAUUGGGUGCCACUAAGCAAAGUGAAUGAUUCUUGCCUGUAACUAGGAGGGGUGGAGUUCCCUCUCCAUCUUCACCCACUUCUGGGAGGCUUUCAGGGACUCACCACCCCACACUUGAUGCCUGGCCCAGACAGCCAAAGAAGAGGACCAGGCCGCUUCUCAACCCAGCUGACGCUUGGCAGCUUUGUGACCUCGGAUACACCUUCUCUUGGGAGGCCAGGCCCCGUGAUCCUAACUCUUCAGCUAUGACAUCAUGUGAGGCUACAAUUUUUUUUUUUAAGAGACAGUAUCUUGCUAUGUUGCCCGGGUUGGUUUUGAAAUCCUGGGCUUAGGCGAUUCUCCUGUCUCAGCCUCCCAAGUAGCUGGAACUUAGGGCGUGAGCCACCGCACCCACCUUCUGGAAAGGACAUGAAUAGGGAAGUGGAACUUGAUUGGACCUGUUCUGUGAGCUCAGGAGAGGUCCUCUGACAACUCACUUGGGGUAGGGAAAGGAGGUAAAGAGUCCUGUGGAAACCUCUGGCUGUGGGGACCCCAGUUCACUGAUGAUUGAAUGGGUCUACCUCUGUCAAAGGAGUUCAGAGUCCCACUCAUCAUUCAGACUGGGGGAAUCAGGCUCAGCUGACUGGCCCAGCCUUAAAUCCACUGAAUUUCUUUUUAUCUCUACAUAGAAAAACAGGAUUACAGUCGCUUCUCAGUGUCCAGUGAGGAUUGGUUCCUGGAGCCCCCCGAAUACCCGUCCAGGGGUGAUGCUCAAACCCCUUAUGUGUAACCUACACGCAUCCUCCCUUAUAUCCUUUAACUCAUCUCUGCGCUCCUCAAAUACCUCAUACCAUGUAAAUGCUGUGUAAACAGUUCUUGUGCUGUGUUGGUUUUUUAAUUUGUAUUAUUUUUUCUUGUGUUUUUAAAAUAUUUUUCUUUUCCUGAAUAUUUUUGAUCCACGGUUAGUUGCCUCCAUGGGUGCGGAACCCACAGACACGGAGGCUGCCUCUACUCAAACGAGCACGGCGGCGCCCUCUGGGUCCUCCUGUGGUCCUGUCUCUGGUGCUGCGUCCGCACGGCGGCGAACAGCAAAACUCAUCUUUUGCAAAUGAUCACUGUGGAGCGGAGUUCCGCUCUGUGACCUUUCGUCCCACUCUGGCUUACCAGAGGUCCCCUGGCCGUGGCCACAGCAUACCUAGCCUAGUGCUUGGCACCUCAGGCACACAAUAAAUCUUUAUGAAAUG